Molecule: microRNA, 21 nt
Filed under: Schmidtea mediterranea
Lineage: Eukaryota; Metazoa; Platyhelminthes; Tricladida; Dugesiidae
Description: sme-miR-2f-5p
Gene: sme-miR-2f-5p
Source: miRBase by way of RNAcentral
AUCUGAAGCUGGAUGUGUUAU